AAGGAUUUAAGUUAAUUAAACUUGUAACCUUCAAAGUUGCCAAUAGGAUCCUCUUCUUAAGCCUUG
Molecule: transfer RNA, 66 nt
Filed under: Dromaeolus sp. ZM-2022
Lineage: Eukaryota; Metazoa; Arthropoda; Insecta; Coleoptera; Eucnemidae
Description: tRNA-Trp
Source: RNAcentral